AUAGUUCAAAUUGGAGGGAGCUUGGGCAGAUACCACCUUUUCUUUUAAGGAAUGAAUGUAAUUGCUUGCAUUUUGUCUCUACUUCCUUCCUCUCAUUGAUUUAUUCCGAAGGCUAGAGUUUCUACUUUACAUUCUAAUUCAUCUGACAUAGCGUGUUUUUAAAAAACUUAGCAUUGCUUGCUUUGAUUUUCCAGUUGACUUUUGCUGAUGGAGCCUCUCUGAAGGGCAAAUUCAAAGUACAGCUGGGUGCUGCAGCACUGGAGUGCGAACUUGUGGCUGUGGUUAUGAAGGAGCCUCGUCAGCUAUGCCUUUAGCCCCUGGUGAAGCAGUGCCAGUCACACUUUGCCAGUCAAACGGAGAGGCAGCAGUAGUAAGACCAGACCAAAUCAAACCAAACCAAGCAAACCACGGGGAAUGGAGGUCAUGUGAGCACACAGCAUAAAGGCAGCUGCCCACAAGCCAGGAAGAGAAGCAUCAUCAGAAACCGACCAUACUGGCUUCCUGAUCUCAGACUUUCAGCCUCCAGAAUGAGAUGGGGGUGUGAAAGGAAAUGAAAUCUUGGGACCCUAAACUCAUUAAGCCAAAGGGAAAAGCUGGGCCGAGAACUGGAUGAUGCAACCUGCUUCCACCUUUUUGCUUCCUAAAUAAGAUGGCUACA
Molecule: long non-coding RNA, 658 nt
Filed under: Homo sapiens (human)
Lineage: Eukaryota; Metazoa; Chordata; Mammalia; Primates; Hominidae
Description: HSALNT0367845
Source: RNAcentral